Molecule: ribosomal RNA, 492 nt
Filed under: uncultured bacterium
Lineage: Bacteria
Description: partial 16S ribosomal RNA
Rfam family: Bacterial small subunit ribosomal RNA
Source: RNAcentral
AGUGAACGCUGGCGGUAGGCCUAACACAUGCAAGUCGAACGGCAGCACAGUAAGAGCUUGCUCUUACGGGUGGCGAGUGGCGGACGGGUGAGGAAUACAUCGGAAUCUACUUUUUCGUGGGGGAUAACGUAGGGAAACUUACGCUAAUACCGCAUACGAUCUACGGGUGAAAGCAGGGGAUCUUCUGACCUUGCGCGAUUGAAUGAGCCGAUGUCGGAUUAGCUAGUUGGCGGGGUAAAGGCCCACCAAGGCGACGAUCCGUAGCUGGUCUGAGAGGAUGAUCGGCCACACUGGAACUGGGACACGGUCCAGACUCCUACGGGAGGCAGCAGUGGGGAAUAUUGGACAAUGGGCGCAAGCCUGAUCCAGCCAUACCGCGUGGGUGAAGAAGGCCUUCGGGUUGUAAAGCCCUUUUGUUGGGAAAGAAAAGCAGCAGGUUAAUACCCCGCUGUUCUGACGGUACCCAAAGAAUAAGCACCGGCUAACUUCGUG